Molecule: ribosomal RNA, 254 nt
Filed under: uncultured bacterium
Lineage: Bacteria
Description: partial 16S ribosomal RNA
Rfam family: Bacterial small subunit ribosomal RNA
Source: RNAcentral
UACGGGGGGGGGCAAGCGUUGUUCGGAAUUACUGGGCGUAAAGGGCUCGUAGGCGGCCAACUAAGUCAUACGUGAAAUCCCUCGGCUUAACCGGGGAACUGCGUCUGAUACUGGAUGGCUUGAGAUUGGGAGAGGGAUGCGGAAUUCCAGGUGUAGCGGUGAAAUGCGUAGAUAUCUGGAGGAACACCGGUGGCGAAGGCGGCAUCCUGGACCAACACUGACGCUGAGGAGCGAAGGCUAGGGGAGCGACCCGG